This 148-nucleotide non-coding RNA is filed under the name Homo sapiens (human). The record is from Rfam by way of RNAcentral. Lineage: Eukaryota; Metazoa; Chordata; Mammalia; Primates; Hominidae.
GCUGGGCAUGGUGGCGGGUGCCUGUAAUCCCAGGUACUUGGGAGGCUGAGACAGGAGAAUCGCUUGAACCCAGGAGGCAGAGGUUGCAGUAAACUGAGAUCGUGCCACUGCACUCCAGCCUGGGUGACAAAGCUAGACUCUGUCUCAA